CCUACGGGAGGCAGCAGUGGGGAAUAUUGCACAAUGGGGGAAACCCUGAUGCAGCAACGCCGCGUGAGUGAAGAAGUAUUUCGGUAUGUAAAGCUCUAUCAGCCGGGAAGAAAAUGACAGUACCUGACUACGAAUCCGCGGCUAACUACGUGCCAACAGCCGCGGUACUACGUCGGGGGCAAGCGUUAUCCGGAUUUACUGGGUGUAAAGGGGGCGUAGACGGCUGCGCAAGUCAGAAGUGAAAGCCCGGGGCUCAACCGCGGUACUGCUUUUGAAACUGUGUAGCUAGAGUGCAGGAGAGGUAAGUGGAAUGCCUAGUGUAGCGGUGAAAUGCGUAGAUAUGAGGAGGAACACCGGUGGCGAAGGCGGCUUACUGGACUGUAACUGACGUUGAGGCUCGAAAGCGUGGGGAGCAAACAGGAUUAGAUACCCCAGUAGUC
RNAcentral lists this ribosomal RNA (440 nucleotides) under uncultured bacterium. RNAcentral's name for it is "partial 16S ribosomal RNA". It matches the Rfam family "Bacterial small subunit ribosomal RNA", at positions 338 to 795 of the family's 1533-position model. The record is from RNAcentral.